RNAcentral lists this ribosomal RNA (455 nucleotides) under uncultured bacterium. RNAcentral's name for it is "bacterial SSU rRNA". It matches the Rfam family "Bacterial small subunit ribosomal RNA", at positions 100 to 565 of the family's 1533-position model. The record is from RNAcentral.
GGACGGGUGAGUAACGCGUGGGUAACCUACCCCAAAGUCCGGGAUAACAGCGGGAAACCGCUGCUAAUACCGGAUGCCUUUACCUUGGGGCAUCUUGAGGUAAAGAAAGGUAACGCUUUGGGAUGGGCCCGCGUCCCAUUAGCUAGUUGGUGAGGUAACGGCUCACCAAGGCGACGAUGGGUAGCCGGCCUGAGAGGGUGGACGGCCACACUGGGACUGAGACACGGCCCAGACUCCUACGGGAGGCAGCAGUAGGGAAUAUUGCGCAAUGGACGGAAGUCUGACGCAGCGACGCCGCGUGAGCGAUGAAGGUCUUCGGAUCGUAAAGCUCUGUCCUUGGGGAANAAGGUCUUCGGACUUGACGGUACCCAAGAAGAAAGCCCCGGCUAACUACGUGCCAGCAGCCGCGGUAAUACGUAGGGGGCGAGCGUUGUCCGGAAUUACUGGGCGUAAAG